This 253-nucleotide ribosomal RNA is filed under the name uncultured bacterium. RNAcentral describes it as "partial 16S ribosomal RNA". It matches the Rfam family "Bacterial small subunit ribosomal RNA", at positions 524 to 776 of the family's 1533-position model. The record is from RNAcentral.
UACGAAGGGGGCUAGCGUUGUUCGGAAUCACUGGGCGGAAAGGGCGCGUAGGCGGCCGCUCAAGUCGGGGGUGAAAGCCUGUGGCUCAACCACAGAAUUGCCUUCGAUACUGUUUGGCUUGAGACCGGAAGAGGUUAGUGGAACUGCGAGUGUAGAGGUGAAAUUCGUAGAUAUUCGCAAGAACACCAGUGGCGAAGGCGGCUGACUGGUCCGGUUCUGACGCUGAGGCGCGAAAGCGUGGGGAGCAAACAGG